GCCCUAGUAGCUUAGACAUCAAAGCACCGGUCUUGUAAACCGAAGAUCGAAGGUGUAAAAUCCUUCCUAGCGCC
This 74-nucleotide transfer RNA is filed under the name Huso huso (beluga). RNAcentral describes it as "tRNA-Thr". It matches the Rfam family "tRNA". Rfam says of the family: Transfer RNA (tRNA) molecules are approximately 80 nucleotides in length. Their secondary structure includes four short double-helical elements and three loops (D, anti-codon, and T loops). Further hydrogen bonds mediate the characteristic L-shaped molecular structure. tRNAs have two regions of fundamental functional importance: the anti-codon, which is responsible for specific mRNA codon recognition, and the 3' end, to which the tRNAs corresponding amino acid is attached (by aminoacyl-tRNA synthetases). tRNAs cope with the degeneracy of the genetic code in two manners: having more than one tRNA (with a specific anti-codon) for a particular amino acid; and 'wobble' base-pairing, i.e. permitting non-standard base-pairing at the 3rd anti-codon position. Lineage: Eukaryota; Metazoa; Chordata; Actinopteri; Acipenseriformes; Acipenseridae. The record is from RNAcentral.